Lagenorhynchus albirostris (white-beaked dolphin) is the source of this 422-nucleotide long non-coding RNA. RefSeq lists it as uncharacterized. The record is from RefSeq and is a predicted model, not a curated record. Lineage: Eukaryota; Metazoa; Chordata; Mammalia; Artiodactyla; Delphinidae. The transcript has 3 exons.
UAUUGGGCCAACAAAACGCUUUGUUUUGAACUUAAAUCUGAAUGUCUUGUGGUGGAGAAAGAAUUCUUUAACUAUCCUGCAACAGUUUAGUGCUUACACCCAGAUUCAUUCAUCAUCAUGUAUGAUAGAAAAAUUUUAAGAAAGGCGACAGAUACUGACUUGAGUAGAAGCCAAGAGAAACUGGAGAUCUUGGCAUUUUUGGACCCAGGAUUUUUGUCUGUUUUAUUUAUAUCCUACAGUAUUAGCACAAUGACUGGGCUACUCAGUGGAUGAUUUCUGAAUGAAAGAAUGAGUGAUGCUGGGGGUCAAAGCUGGGGAAUAAUGGCAGUAAACACUGCACAAAUAUAAUAGUAGACAUAUACUUGGCGUGUUCUAAAUGAGCCCGAUUAGUGCUUUUUUUAUAUCAUAUCCUAUAAAAGUAA